This 1133-nucleotide long non-coding RNA is filed under the name Apteryx rowi (Okarito brown kiwi). RNAcentral describes it as "lncRNA (ENSARWG00000009564.1)". The record is from RNAcentral. Lineage: Eukaryota; Metazoa; Chordata; Aves; Apterygiformes; Apterygidae.
AGAAGGAAAAAGAGCACAAAAUAGAAAAGGGGCAUUUUGAGUUGAAACCAUUUUAAUGGUUGGAGUUCCAGGAAUCUUUCAAAUUCCCUCUGUAGACACCUUUUUCUCACAGUCAGAUUAAGAUAUUGUCCUCCCAUCCUCAUAGUUCUAAAACCAAUGCAGUUCUACUAUAACACAUCUCUCUUGCCCUUUCAAAGCGUCUAUAACUCUUCUCUUGCUCAGAGCUAAGGAAUAAUCACUGUUUUAUAUAUAAAAAUGUAUCUGAAGCCAUUGCCAUCUGAGGCCUUCUACAAUUUAAAUGGUUGUCAUAUGAGUUUCUCUGUUGGCAUGGCUGACUGCCAAUAGACGUGUCUCGCACUAUGUUCAUGCAGAUGCCAGGAAUCAGACAGGGCCUCCCUUAGAAGCGCACCGAAGAUACCUUCUCUGAAAUACUUGGAUAGUUCAUUACUGAUCCUAAUCUUGGACACUGAGACUCUGUGCUCACCAGUAGAAACACGUUCCCAGAGUGUGUAACAAUAGAAAACUGAAAGGCAAGAUCCUUCCUCUUAAAUCUUUCACAAGGAGACCUCUUUUUCCCAAGGCUGUAUUAGGAGUUGGAAUUAGGAUGGAGAGGAAGCGCAUUAAUUUUCAACUUCACACGAAGGCAAGUUGUACAAACACAGCUGAAAACAUCAGGAAACCCAGGCAUUUUCCUUAGAGAAAUGGAGUGAGCUAAUGUUCUGCUGGCAGGAGACUGCUAAAUAAUUGGGAAGACGUUGUUGGGCACAGUGGUUCAGGCACAGUGGUUCGGGCAGCAGGGUGUUCGUGCUCUGAUAGAGCUGCUCAAUUCGGCUCGCUUGGAUGAAUGAUUCCACUAAUGUAGAAAACAGAGAUUAUUAGCCACAUAACAGGAAGCAAUUUAAAGAGCACAAGCUGCUUUGGAAACAUAAGAAACAUCUCUCAGAUUGUCAAAAGAUUUUUUUUUUUUUAACUAUUUAAUUUACGCUGGACUUGGAUCCAAUUAAAUCAUGAAAGACCUUUUGAUUUUUGCCUCUUUGUGUUCUCAUUGAGUUUAUUUCAUAGACAUAUUUCAAACACAGGAAAAAUAAGGAGAAUUCUCUUGACACUUUGGACUUUGUUUACAUUGAUUCCUG